AACUCCAACAUCUUCGUGAGCUAGAUCUUUCACAUUGCAAUCUCCGAGGAGAGAUUCCUUCUUCAGUAGGAAAUCUUUCUCAUCUCACAUCUCUAGAUCUUUCUCGUAACCAAUUAGUAGGUGAAGUUCCGACUUCAAUCGGUAACCUAAACCAACUAGAAUCCGUUAAGCUUCACAAAAAUCAUCUUGGAGGUAAUAUUCCUACAUCUUUUUCCAACUUAACCAAGCUUUCUACUAUAUACCCAGCGAGAAUCAAUUCACUGGUGGUGAUAUAGUAUUAGCCAAUUUAACCAGCUUGACCUCUAUAGACCUCUCUUCCAAUCACUUUCACUCCUCGAUUUCCUCUUACCUAAGUGAAAUCCACAACUUGGAGCGAUUCUCAGCGUAUGACAACUCAUUUUCCCUCAUCAUUGCUAAAGAUUUCUUCCUUAGCUCAGAUUGAUUUAAGCAGCGGAAACCAAUUCGAGGGACCUAUUGAUUUUGGGAAUACAUCUUCAUCAUCCAAACUUGAAGUGUUAUAUCUUAGGCAUAACAAUUUCCGAGGACAAGUCCCUAGUUCUUUAACUAAACUAGUCAACCUCUAUGAUCUUGAUCUUUCUUACAACAAGUUGGAAGGUCAAGUACCUCACUGUAUAUGGACAUCUUCUUCUUCUAAGUUGGAGUAUGUAAAGCUUUCUCAUAAUUCUUUCAACAGUUUUGGCAAAUCAUUGCAAGUUAUCGAUGGAGGGACGUUAACACAAUUGGAUCUUGCUUCAAAUUCACUCCAAGGACCAAUUCCUCAAUGGAUCUGCAAGUUAAGAGCUUUAGAGAAGUUAGAUUUGUCAAACAACCAUUUCACUGGUUCCAUCCCUCAAUGUUUCAAGAAUUUCACUUCUCUUGAAGAUCUUUUCCUGCGAAACAACAGUCUAAGUGGAUUUCUACCAGAUAUAUUCACCAACUACACAUUGUUGAAAUCAUUUGAUGUCAGCCGCAAUAACUUGGUGGGUAAGCUUCCAAAAUCUUUGAUCAGUUGCGAGAAUAUGGAAUUUCUCAACGUGAAAGGAAACAAGAUCAAGGACACGUUUCCAUUUUGGUUGGGAUCUCUACAAAACUUCAAGAUUCUUCUGCUCCGAUCAAAUGCAUUUUAUGGUCCAAUCUACAACUCUUCUGCUUAUUUAGGGUUUGGAAGAAUAAGGAUCAUUGACAUAUCCGACAACUACUUCGUCGGAUCAUUGCCACAAGACUAUUUUGCCAAUUGGACGACGACUGAAAUGUCAAAAGUCAAAUAUAUAUCUUACGGAGCCCUAGAGGGUCCAUACAGUGCUCCCCAAGAUUCCAUGGAUUUGGUGUAUAAAGGAGUAGACAUGAAUUUUGAUCUGAUCUUUAACGGCUUAAAGAUUAUUGAUUUCUCUGGGAACCGAUUCUCGGGAGAUAUCCCUGGAUCCAUUGGUGUAUUAAGCGAUUUUCGUCAUCUUAACUUGUCAGGCAAUGCAUUCACAGGCAAUAUCCCACCAUCUUUGGCGAAUAUUACAAAUCUCGAGUCAUUAGACCUAUCACGAAAUAACUUGUCAGGUAAGAUUCCUCAAGGUCUCGGGAAGCUCUCGUUUCUUUCCAACAUCAACUUCUCCUACAAUCAUCUUGAAGGAUUGGUGCCACGGAGCACACAGUUCCAAAGGCAAAAUUGUUCUUCAUUUGUUGGUAAUCCUGGGCUAUACGGCCUCGAUGAUAUUUGUGGAGAAAUCCAUCAUGUUUCCGUUCCUACAUCUCAGCAACCCGAAGAAUCUUUGUCGGAGCAGGAAGAGCCACUGCUGAACUGGAUAGCAGCCGCGAUAGCAUUUGGACCUGGUGUGUUUUGUGGAUUAGUUAUCGGAUGUAUCUUCACUUCAUACAAACACAAGUGGUUUAUUAUAUCUCGUUAAGCCCAUCUAUCUGGCGGGUUCGUCAAGUUUGUACUCCGGUAACCUAGUUCGCUAGGUGUUCCUUCCUUGUAAUUUUCACCGUAUAAACAUUGUCACUGUAAUAUUCUCACCGUUUUGUGUUAUAUGGUCCAUGUUGGUUGCCUAUGUUUCUCAGUUAUUAUUAAAUUAAGCUUUAACAAAGUGUCUUGAAAAAUAUGUUUAAUAGCCAUAUAUUUAUCUCUAGUUUGAGUCUAAAGAAUCUUUAUUUUAGUUGUUUUAACACAUACAUACAUAUAUAUAUAUAUAUAUAUAUUAAUAAAAUCUAGUAUUAUGUGGGAAUUAGGAGGAACAAAACAGUUAAGAGUCUCUGUUCUCAAAAUUUUCCAGAAACAUAGGAGAUAAUCCAUAAAGUCCCCCGGCUAAUAUAGAAAAAAGGUAUAUAUGAUUAUUAUUUGUGAACAUUGUGUAGAAAAGAGUCAAAUCUUUGUGGAGAAAUUUUGUCGGCCACAAAGUUAUUUUUCUCAGGAGACUUGCUAAGAAAGAAAGAUAAACUUCGAAGAGUGGCUUUGCUCUGUCUUCAUCUCAUGACUUAUUUAAAUGAUAAACCCAUUUCUCAGGGCAUUUACUUGGACGCACAAGUUUUUGUUUUUUUUGGUUUUAAUGUGAAGAUUUCAUUCAAUAACAAGAUUACAAGCUGAUCUACCGAUUACAAAAGCUAACCCAUUAUCAAAGGAACAAGAGCGAGACAGACUAAGAGAAAAAUUACAAAGGAAAUGAAAGACGACUAAAAUAAAUUUGAAGAAGAGAAGGAGAGUUCAACGCAGACCCUGGAAAAGACAGCAGGCGAUUCCGCAUUGUAAGAUCAAUGGCGAGGCGAGUAACAGAGGCGGUGGAUUGGACGCACAAGUUUGUGUCUUAUUUUUUAUAUACUUGGUCAACUUCUUGUUACCGUUUUCUGUAUUUCAUUCUUCACGGUUAAAUAGGGUGGAAUCAUUUUGACAUUUUCCAAGAACCUAUUGAUUUUGGGGAAUACAUCAUCUUCGUUUGGCCAUCUUUGAUUUGUCCGAUAACCAUUUUACUGGUUCCAUUCCUCAAUGUUUAAAGCGUUUUAUGUUCGAAGAGUUAAAUCUGAAAAACAACAAUUUAAGUGGAUUCCUACCAGAUUUAUUCAUCAACGGUUGUUCGCUACUAUCACUUGACGUUAGCGGCAAUAAUUUGGCGGGUAAAAUUCCAAAAUCUUUGAUCAAUUGCGAGUAUAUGGAAUUUCUGAAUGUGGCAGGAAACAAGAUCAAGGACACGUUUCCGUUUUGGUUACGCUCUCUGCAAACCUUACAAGUAAUUGGGCUCCGAUCAAAUGCAUUCUAUGGUCCAAUCUACAACCCCUCUACCUAUUUAGGGUUUCCAAGCUUGAGGAUCAUAGACAUAUCCAACAACAACUUCGAUGGAUCAUUACCACAAGACUAUUUUGCCAAUUGGACUGCAACGUCAACGGUGUUUCAGAAUAGUUUUGACAUGAACUAUAUGAAAUCUGAUUUCUCUGCGUACCGUUCGAUGGAUUUGGCGUACAAAGGAGUAGAAACAGAUUUUGUUAGGAUCUUUCGAGGCUUCAAAGCCAUUGAUUUUUCUGGAAACCGAUUCUCAGGGAAUAUUCCUGGAUCCAUUGGUCUAUUGAGUGAAUUACGUCUUCUCAACUUGUCAGACAACGCAUUCACAGGCACCAUUCCACCAUCCUUGGCAAAAUAUCACAAACCUUGAGAUAUUAGGACUAUCGCAAAAUAACUUGUCCGGUGAAAUUCCUAGAGGUCUUGGGGAACUCACGUUUCUGUCCAACAUCAACUUAUCCUACAAUCAUCUUGAAGGAUUCGUGCCACGAAGCACACAGUUUGGAAGUCAAAAUUGCUCUUCAUUCGUUGGUAAUCCUAGACUACAUGGCUUCCAGGAACCUUGUGAAGAAAGCCAUCAUGUUCCCGUUCCUACUACAUCUCAUCAACCCGAGGAAUCUUCAUCGGAGCAGGAAGACCCCAUGCUGAACUGGAUAGCAGCCGCGAUAUCUUUUGGACCUGGUGUGUUUUGUGGAUUAGUGAUCGGAUAUAUCUUCACUUCAUACAAACAUGAGUGGUUUAUUUUUUCUCGUUAAGCCCAUCUCUUUCGAGGUUUCGUCAAGUUUGUACUCCGUUCGUCAGGAGUUUAUUAUAUCCUUGUAAUUUUCCAUUUUCGUGGUUGUAUUAUAAACAAUGUCAAUGUUCUAAGCUGUUUGUGCAAUAUGGUCCCUGUCGGUUUCCUAUGUAUCAUUGUAAUAAAUCUCUUUAUUAACAAAGUGUCUUGAAAAUCAUGUUUUAUUCAAUAACUCAUAGCCAUCCAUUUAUCUCUAAUUUGAGUCUAGAAUCUUUAUCUUAGUUGAUUCAAUGCAUAUAUUUUACAUCAGAUAUAAUAUUCUGUAGAAAUUACGAGGAACAAAACAGAUGUAGUGUCUCUGUCACUCAUAUCUUUCUAGAAACAGAGAAGAUAAAUCCAAAAACUAUACACUUAUUAUUCCAUGGAAACUUUGUGGAAAAAUCUUAUUGGCCACAAUGUUAUUGUUCAUAGAAGACUUAGGCCAUGUUCUUUUAAGAGACGCUGCGACAUGCGACAGCGACGGCAAAUAAACGUGGAUGGAGUGAUAAUUGUUAAAACGAGUCGCCGGAUCUGUUGAAAUGAGCUGCGGCAACGGUCGCUAGAAAUUCUGGCGACUCCCCUCUAUCUCCAGCGAUAGCUUUCUCUUUCUCUAGCGACUGCUCCGUCAUUGUCGUUUUGCAUGUGUGUCGUCGUUUUCUUUGUUAAUCACCUCCGGCACGGUCGUUUUGAGCUGUCGCAGAGAUAGUCGCUGCGAAUCUUCUCCGAACAGGCCCUUACUAAGAAAGAAGAAAUUAAAAUCUUGACGAGUGGCUUUGCUCAUGAUGACCCAUUUCUCACGGCAUUGCAAGUUUUUGUGUCUUUUAUUCUUUCUAUCAUUUACUUUGUUAACUUUUUGUUUUCGUUUUCUCGUCUUUCUUUUUGUCUUCGGUUAUGCAACCGUGAUUCCUUCAUUGGUCGCGGUUGAAUAGUGUAGAAUCAUGUUCCAAGGACCUAUUAAUUUUGCAGAAUACAUCUUCUUUGUCUAAGCGAACCGAAUUAAGCAAAAACGGUUAAUGACUAGAUCAACGAUGAGAAAGUUCAAUGAUUGAAAAUGGCACCUCGUCUGCUCAAUCUAUAGAGAAAGAAGUCCAGUUUUCUUGUUCAAGGACUUGUGUGAACUUAGGCGUUUGUUUUGCAUUUUUUUUUGGGUUCUUUGUUAAAUGGGUUUCUUUGUUAAGAACAUGUACAGUGGAGAGUUUUCACAUAGAUUCUCAAUAAUAAAAUAUAAGAAAAUAAUAAAAAGUGGGAGAGAGAAACCAGAAUCGAUUCGCAUUUGACAACAUUUGAAAACCCUUUGAGAGACUAUCAUUACACAUGUCAGCAUAUAAUUGGUUUUGAAUUUUUUUUUGUUAUUUAAAAUUAAAAUAAAUAACUAAAUUAAAUGAUAUGUAUUAGAAUAAUAUAUUUGAGAGACAAAGUCUCUAUGCACUACACAUGCUCUUAAUUGUGUAAGUAGUCACUUUUUCAAACCCAAUUGUAAAUAAGAAAUUUUCACAAAAGGGACAUAAAUGAUUUUUUGUCUUACCAAUUGACAAAGUGGAGAAAGGUUUUCACCGUUUGACAAUUUGCCAUAUUUCUGACGAAACUGCCCUCAACUAGAAGUGUAACUUGGUUCGUUUUUUUUUUUUUUUUUUUCACAAGUGUAUCGUUUUUUUUUCAAUUGGUUUGGUUUCUGAAAAUUAGUUUUAUUUAAUUUUAAAAAAUUUUGAAUUAAAAACAACAUUGGAAAACGAAGAACAUAGUCGACGAAAGUGAAGAGCUCGAGGAGGAAAACUCAGAGUAGAAACCGUUUCCAUUCUUCAAUCUAAUCUCUCAUUAUUAUUCAUCUACUUGGAAACGACCAAAACCCCAAAAAAUUCCGGCGAAUUCCGUUUCGAUUCCUCUUUAACUCUCUCAUUAUCUUCCGUUCUUGCCGAGACGAGCAAAAGCAAACAAAUUUCAUAUUUCUGGCGACGAACAAAAUACAACAAAGUUCUGGAAACUCAAAAACUUUAGCUUUUCAAAUUUAAAAUAUGCUAAAUUUACAAGAUUUAUAUGUAAAGAGAAUUCAAAAGGUAAAAAAAAACAAGAUUCUGAGAUAACUGCUAAUGACGGCCGCAAAAUUAGGGUUGCAGAGGAGGAUACUCAGGUUGAAGAUGACUGGAAAAUUACAUUUAUACCCUUCAUCGAAUUUCUUCUGUGUACGUAUAUGCAAUUUACGGUGUACGUACACAAAAAUAUUUAGUGGAACUUAUGUAUAUGGUUCGAUAUUAAAAUGGUUGUAAUAAAUAUCAAACCACCCUCUACAAAAAAAACUAACAAUUAAUGAUUUGACUCCAAAUUUGAGCUAUUUUGUUACUUAUUCAUAUAUAUCUCAAUAAAAUUCAUGCAUAUAUAAUAAUUAAAUAAAAAUAUAUGGUGAAAAAAUAUUGUUCCUCAUACUUUUGAAAAAGUUAUGUAUGUAUACGUGUAAUAAUGUACGUACAUCUUUAUUGGUGUGUUAAAUUUGUUAAGAUAAAUUUAUUGAUACAAUAAUAAACCAAUAUUGGCGAUGGUGGGGGUGUAUUCUACGACGCUCCUACUGGAGAUGAAGCCAUUGUUAUUUGAUUUUUUUUUUCUAAAUACACUCCCAACAAACAAUGUCUCUCUUGCCAUACUAAUUUAUAUUUUUGUCUCAUCAACUCGGGUAUUGACUAAAUCAUCAAAGACUAGAACAAAAUUCACACAAUUACCAUUCACUUUACAAUUACCAUGCCAAUUUGUAUGUGUACGUCAAACAUUUACCGUCAGAUGAUUUCUCGUGUACAUAUUUAGUAAUGUACGUACAUUUUUCUAAAAAUCAUGUUUUAUCUCAUGGUUAUGACUCACAAAUGGUUGAAUAUCACCAUUCUCUCCAAAAUAAUCGAUGUUUUUUCAGUUACGUACACGUUAAUUAGUAUACGUACACGUUUCUAAUAAUCAACUGAAUUUUUAUGUUAGCCCCACAGUAAGUUGAGUGUCACCAUCAUUCCCGACAUGUCAUAUCCCAUAUUUCUCAACAACAAAAUCAGUCAACUUGUUGUAAUGUAAUCUUCGCCACUACCUUUAUUACCGUUUAUAGUUGUCAUCUUCAUCGUCCCCUUCCUCAUCCUUUCUCUUUUUCGUCGUCCUCAUCCUCUUUUUUUUCAUCCUCUUUAUCACUCUGUACUUCUUCUGCUUCAUCUACUUCCUCAUUGUUUUCACCACCGACCCAUGGUCAGUUUCAUCAGAAAGGUCCUCCAUCUUUCUAUGUAAUUAUUAUUUUAAAAAUUUUAAUGAACGUUAUGUUACAUAAUAUUAUUGGUGGAUAAUAUAUAAGAUUCUAAACUAAUAUAUAAGAUUCGUAAACGUAGUGGGCUGAGUUGGGUCUUACAUAAAUCGUCGAAAUUGAAACAUCAUCAUUAUUGAGCAACUCCACCUCACCACUUAGCAAUAUAGAAAAGCCAUUAUACACUUCAGAAGAAUCAUUCAUUGUUAAUAAAUCGUACUUUGAUUCAGGUAAAACCGAUCUUCCAAUACUAAAUUUCACACCAUUACCAUUCAUUUCAAAUCUACCAUGCCCAUNNNNNNNNNNNNNNNNNNNNNNNNNNNNNNNNNNNNNNNNNNNNNNNNNNNNNNNNNNNNNNNNNNNNNNNNNNNNNNNNNNNNNNNNNNNNNNNNNNNNGACACAAACAUGUUCACUUGUCUAUGAUAGUUUAUACGGGAAAAAUGUCGUUUAAUUGCUGAACUUUCAAAAAAUGGCCGUUUAAUACGUGAACUUCUUAUGUGGCCAGUUUAAACACGAAUUUAACGUUGACCGGCCAUUUUAACUAAAUGUCUUCGUUGACUACGCCAAAACGCCACACCGUUAGCAGUCACUAACUAAGCCGAUAACGGCUGUUAGCACCCGUUAACAGGUCUCCGUUAGUCCCGAAAACGACGUCGUUUUAGCCAGAAGCAAAGUUCCUAAAUUCCCAAAAUCGAUUUUGAAAUCCCUAAUUUUUCAAAAUCCCCAAAUUAAGAACCCUAAUCCCAGAAAUCCGAAAUCUUCAAAUUGUCUUCUCUAAUGGUAUUAGUUAGGAAGAAUGGCGUCGUAGUGCGUGUUGGAUCUCCUAUACGAGGCGAAGCAGAGAGUGUUGUGGGUGCUGGAGUUGAAGCUCGAGGUGAAUCGGAGAUGGUUGUCGGAGACGGAGUUGAAGCUCCACCGGCGGAAGAGAUUUCGGAGACAGGUGGUGGAAACAAAGCUCGUGGUCGAGGCAGGCGUCGAAAACGAAGAAAAGUCAGGGUCUUAGAGGACGGUGAAGAUCCUGAAAAGGAACCAGACCCCGUCCCUGACAUUGAAGAUGAUUGUGCGGUGUAUGGUGAUGAAGACUGCGAUGUUGUUGAUGAUGCAGUAGGCGGUGAUGUUAGUGAAGGUAAUGAUGAUAAUGCUGGAGUUGAAGCUCGAAACGAAUCAGAGAUGGUUGUCGGAGACUUCGAUGUAGCAGGUGGUGAAAGUAAUGAUGAUAAUGGUGGUGUUGAUGAAACAUGUGGUGGAGAUAGCGAUGAUGAUGCAGCAGCUGUUGAAGAAGAUGUUAACUUCAACAUUGCAGAAGAUUUCCCAGAGGCUGUUAGAGGAGAUGAAGCUGGUAGUGACUCGGAUAGUGGAGAUGAUAUAUGGGACGAAGACAAGAUUCCAGAUCCUUUGUCAUCUGAUGACGAAGAUGAAGACGGAGUUAGAGAAGAGGAAGCUGGUAGAGGUGCUGAUGAUCCAGAGGUUUUGCUAGAAUUGGAGAAAACUUACAACUCUCCCGAAGACUUCAAGCUUGCACUUUUGAUGUACUCUUUAAAGACAAGGUAUGACAAUAAGCUCUUUAGGUCUGAAGCUAUGGUUGUUGCUGCGAAGUGUUGUUAUGUAGAUGAUGAAGGUGUUGCAUGUCCAUGGAGAGUUUAUUGUGCAUAUGAGAAGAGGAAGCAUAAGAUGCAAAUAAAAAGAUAUAUCAAUGAGCAUGUAUGUGUAAGGUCAGGAUAUUCAAAGAUGUCGAAGAGGUCCUCCAUUGCUUUGUUGUUUGAGGAAAGGCUGAGAGUGAAUCCAAAGCUUACCAAGUUUGAGAUGGCUGCUGAGAUUAAGAGGGAAUACAAGUUGGAAGUGACUCCAGACCAGUGUGCUAAGGCCAAGACUAAAGUGCUGAAAGCUAGACAUGCAAGCCAUGAUGCUCAUUUUGUAAGAAUUUGGGAUUAUCAAGCAGAGGUGUUAAAGCAGAAUCCAGGGACAGAGUUUGAGAUAGAAACUAUUGCAGGGGCAGCCAUUGGUCAGAAGCAGAGGUUUUAUCGUCUUUACAUUUGUUUUCAAGCUCAAAAAGAAUCAUGGAAAAAGACUUGUAGACCUGUGAUAAGAAUAGAUGGAGCAUUUCUAAAAUGGGAUAUAAAAGGUCACCUUCUAGCUGCAGUUGGCAGAGAUGGUGAUAAUAGGAUAGUUCCUAUUGCUUGGGCAAUUGUGGAGAUAGAAAACGAUGAUAACUGGGACUUCUUUUUGAGAAAACUAGCUGGAAGUUUGGGGCUGUGUCAAAUGCAAAAUCUAGCAGUCAUUUCAGAUAAACAAUCAGUGAGUUUUUAUCCAAGUUUGUAUUAUGUUCUGUGAUUUCUUUAUGUUGUUUUAUUUAAGGUUUGUAAGCUAUGUCUUAUUGCAGGGUCUUGUCAAAGCUAUCCACUCCAUACUUCCACAAGCUGAGCAUCGUCAAUGUUCAAAACACAUCAUGGAUAAUUGGAAGAGAGACAACCAUGAUAUAGAGCUUCAGCGUCUAUUUUGGAAGAUAGCACGCAGCUACACUGUAGAGGAGUUCAAUAAUCACCAGGAGGAGCUUAAGUUGUACAAUCGCCAGGCUUAUGAAUCUCUGCAACGUACUAGUCCUAUGACAUGGUCCAGAGCAUUCUUCAGAAUAGGUACCUGUUGCAAUGACAACCUAAAUAAUCUAAGUGAGUCUUUCAAUAGGACUAUUAGACAGGCCAGGAGGAAGCCAAUAUUGGAUUUGCUAGAGGACAUCAGGAGGCAAUGUAUGGUCAGAACUGCAAAGAGGUUUCUUAUUGCUGAGAAGUUGAAGACAAUGUUCACAAAGAGAGCUCAUGAAGAAAUUGAGAAGAUGAUAGCUGGGGUUGGUAAUUGCGAGAGAUAUAUGGCCAGAGAAAAUUUGCAUAAGAUAUAUGUGAAUGGUGUUGGCUACUUUGUUGAUAUGGAGUUGAAAACUUGUGGUUGCAGGAAAUGGGAGAUGGUUGGGAUCCCUUGUGUUCAUGCGGCUUGUGUGAUAAUAGGUAGAAAAGAAAAAGUUGAAGACUAUGUAAGUGAUUAUUACACUAAGGUAAGGUGGCGAGAAACUUAUAGGAAUGGUAUAAGGCCUGUCCAGGGAAUGCCAUUGUGGCCUAGAACAAAUAGGCUAGCUGUCUUGCCACCACCAUGGAGAAAAGGCAACUCAGGGAGGCCAAGUAACUAUGCUAGGAGGAAAGGAAGAAAUGAAACUGCCUCUGUCUCUUCUAAAAAUAAGAACAAGAUGUUCCGGGAAAAGAGAAUCAUGACAUGCUCUAACUGCCUGCAAGAAGGACACAACAAGCAGGGUUGCAAAAAUGCAACUGUCUUGAAUAAUCAACCAAAGAGACCAAGAGGUCGUCCCAGGAAAAAUCAGGUUAGUGACUCUUAUGCUUUUUUUGUGUUUGACAGCUCACUUAAAUCAUGUCUUCUAAUCUCAUACAUUUGACUUAGGAACCACAUGUGCUUGGAUCACAAUCUUAUCAAGGAUCACAAUCUUAUCAAGGAUCACAACCUCUACAAGGAUCACAAGAUCAGCAAGUACACGGAUCACAGGUUCAUCUUGGAUCAGAAGGACAAAGGGUAACAGGUCGUGGAGCACAAGGAUCUAUGGCAUCAAGUGGAGCAUCACAAAGAGAACAACCUGAUAGAAGACAUGGAUCUGUAGAAGCACAAGCAGCAGCACAACCCCAAGCACAAGCACAAGGACUUGGUGGAUUGGCAUCAUGGUUUGAGUGUUCCACUUAAGCUUAGUCUCAGUUUUUUUUUCUUGUUUGAACUUAAGCUUAGUCAGGGUAUAUUUUUGUUAGCUGACAUAAGCUUAGUCUCGGCUUUCUUUUUGUUGUUUGAACUUGUCUUUAUGACAUGAUCUCCACUCGGCUUUCUUUUUUGUUGUUUGAACUUGUCUUUAUGACAUGAUCUUCCACUCGGCUUUCUUUUUGUGUCUAUGACAUCAUUGUUGUAAUGUAUGAAUGGUUCUAUCAAUGGUUCUCUCUUAACUUCUCAUUUUCAGAAAUACCAUUUCAUUGCAAAAGAUACAAACUCAUACAAGACACGACACAAACAAGACACAACACAAAACUAAAACAAGAGAAGGCACAAACGAGAGAAACAUGAACCAAGACCAAAGACAAAGACACAAACCAUAUAAGACACUAAUGCACACCUAGUAACCAAGAACUAACUUAUGUCUUUUGUCUCCAACACCAAACAGUAGGAUAACAAAGACAAUGACAGCAACACAAAGGCUCACUAAACACACUUUGAUCAUCGUUUUCCAUUUUUUUAUUUCCUUUUUGCUCCACAUUCCUUCUUCCUUCAAUUCUUUGAUCAUGACCUUUAUCUCUUCAAUCUCGACAGCAACUUCCGAUUUGGCAUUCUCUAUUUGGCUGUCAAUGAUGGAGAAUUUUGGAAGAGCAUCAACAACCUCCUCGUAUACACCAUCUUCGACCCAUUUAAACAAAUGAUCAUGUGCAUCUACAAACAAAUUAUGAACAAUUUUCGAAACACAAGAAGAUAUAAAAUCAAAUCUACUUACAUCUUGUUUGGUUGGACAAUGGAAGAAAGGUCUUCCAGGGUUCUGCUUCGUCGCCGAUGUAUAGAUGACGACGUCUAACCCGCAAUGGCACUUCGAAGGAAACCCACGGAAGCCACAUCCACCGUCUUUAACACAAGAAUUCCCAGAACUGCAACUCAUUUCUUGAGCUCACUCUCGAGAAUUCGAUGAAGAUUGAGAUUGAAAGCUCAAAGAAAUUGAAAUUGGGAACGAUGAAGUGAGAGAUUGAAAGCUCAAAGAAUUGAAAUUUAGGGAUUUGAGGUUUAUGAAAGGGGAUAAAAUCGAUUUCGAUUUGGGGUUUGGUUUAAGAGUAAAACGACAUCGUUUUCGGGACUAACGGAGACCUGUUAACGGGUGCUAACAGCCGUUAUCGGCUCAGUUAGUGACUGCUAACGGUGUGGCGUUUUGGCGUAGUCAACGAAGACAUUUAGUUAAAAUGGCCGGUCAACGUUAAGUUCGUGUUUAAACUGGCCACAUGAGAAGUUCACGUAUUAAACGGCCAUUUUUUGAAAGUUCAGCAAUUAAACGACAUUUUUCCCUAGUUUAUACUUAUCUUCCUGCAAGUCCUCACACAUGGGGCAAUGACACCAUUUCUCUGUCACGGUUACUAUCUGUCUUUCACGUACACAGUACUACAUGUUUACUUACAUAAUCACCAAUAUAUGUACUUGUGUAUGUUAACUUCUCUAAUAAGCAUGUGUGUGCACCUAUGUAUGCUGGUAUAUUGUGUCAAUACUGAUAUUUGUGUCGUCCCACAAAGUCAGCAUAAUAGUUCGUACUAGGCUAAACAUUAAGAUAUUUGGUUUGGUUUCUAGUAAGAUUCUUUUGGUACAUGGUACUUUGGGUAGAAUGAUUUUAUAUCCAUUUCUGGUAUCUUAAAAUUUUGGUCUGGUUCAGUUUGGUUUCAGAUAUUUUUGGUUCAGUUCCGGGUACCCAAAAUAUUGGUAAAAGUUAAAAUUUAUUAAAUUUAAAUAAAAUUUGCGUAAUUUUUUGUUUGACAAAUAUAAGUAAAAAAUUUGGAUAUUUUUCUGUCUUAAAUAAUUGACACCUAUGUGUUUAUAAUUGUAAUCUGGGUAAUUGUGAUAUAAAUGUCUAAAUAUAAUUCAUAUGUUUGGUAUAUAACUAUAUUUCGGAUACCCAUUCGGUUCUCAGUUUGGUUCGGAUUAGGUUUUGGUUCUUCAACUAUGGUUAUGGUUAUUCAGGUAUAAAAGUUUAAUUUCAUUCAGAUAUUUUGUCAGUUUCGGGUUCAGUUCAUAUUUUUCGAAUAGGUUCGGUUUGAUUCUUUAAUUUUAGGUAUCUUUUUUAGGUGUAGUUCGUACAUGGUUUGAAUAUUUUGUUUUUAUGUUCAAAAAAUAUUUUAAACAUAAAUAUACAAAUUAUUUAGAUGUUUAUAUACAUAUACGCACACAAAUUAUUACUGUGUACGUACACAUGAGUACAUGAUAUUGUUAGUUUUAAAUUAUCUUCGACAACACGAUUAAAAUUAAGAAAUAAAUUAUUAUUCAGAGUGUAAAAAUAUAUAUGAAAAUGGAUCUUAAAAGAUAGAAAAAAUUAAAUUUUAAUUGAAAGUACAAAAAUAAUAAAUAUUUCUAAAAAUGAAAAGAGACAAAAAUGUGAAAAACAAAAAAAGGUGAAAAAUAAUAAUAAUGAUCUUAUUUAUUUAUAUUUUUCUAUUUUUUAAUUUUGUUUUUACACUGUAGCUAACGAGAGUGUACUGUACAUAGCGCGUGUACUGUAGCUAACGAUAUACAAUGUACGUAACCAACUCGCCUGACGAUUUCGUUCGCUGUCACUGUACACCGGUUCGGCUAGAAGGACAUUUUCGUCUGAAAUUGACAUAAUUGUCAAAUGGUGAAAGCCUUUCCCCACUUUGUCAAAACCCGAAAGAAACACAUAAAACAUGGCGUCUGACCCGUAAUUAACCCAUGGUAAAUAGUAAACCGACUACUUUUACAAUUAAGUUAAAAAAACUGACUACUUUGCAACUUAUCUCUUUUUUUUUUUUUUCUUCAGUUCAAUUUUGUAUAAUCAUGAAGAAAUGAAAUCUCCCGCUUCAUAGUCUUUAUAACGGUUUUUAUAUACAUAGAGAACACAGCUAAAUAUCUACCAAAACUUUUCAACACUAAAGCUCGUCGUCGUCGCAAUCUCCAAUCCCACCACAGCUAAUUCUAAUCCUUGCUUCAUCUCUUUUUUCCUAAUUUCUUCGAUCUUACGAACAGCUUUUUUCGACAUCCCGAGUUUCAUAAGAAUGGUUCCAAGUGAUUUGAAUGUUGAGUCAUCGGGUUGAAUUCCGGAUGAAACCAUCUCUUUGAAAGUCUCAACAGCUUCUUUGAAUCUCCCGUCUAAAGCGAAUAAACCGAGAACGCUGUUGUAACUCAACGGAUCAGUGAGAAUCUUCAUCUCUCUCAUCUGUUUUGCUAUCUGAGUCGCUUCUUCAAACCUACCGUUCUUCUUGUACAUACAUAACAAUAACAUCAUCGCAAAGGUAAACUCGUUCGCUUCUCUUCUCUGUUUCAUGCUUUCGAAUAUAGCUUCUGCUUUUCUCACCAUGGAUCUUUCACUUUACAGCAACCCAGGAAUCUUUGUUGGAGUAGGAAGAGCCAAUGCUGAACUGGAUAGCAGCCGCGAUAGCAUUUGGACCUGGUGUGUUUUGUGGAUUAGUGAUCGGACGUAUCUUCACUUCAUACAAACACAAGUGGUUUAUUAUAUCUCGUUAAGCCCAUCUAUCUGGCGGGUUCGUCAAGUUUGUACUCCGGUAACCUAGUUCGCUAGGUGUUCCUUCCUUGUAAUUUUCACCGUUGUCAAUGUUAUAAGCUUUGAUGUUUUCACCGUUUUUUGUAAUAUGGUCAAUGUUGGUUGCCUAUGUUAGAUUAAAUUAAGCUUUAACAAAGUGUCUUGAAUCACGUUUAUAUCAAUCUCUAGUUUGAGUCUACAGAAUCUUUAUCUUUGUGGAGAAAUCUUGUCGGCCACAAAGUUAUUUUUCUCAGUAGACUUGCUUAGAAAGUAAGAUAAACUUUGAAGAGUGGCUUUGCACUGUCUUCAUCUCAUGACUUAUUUAAAUGAUAAACCCAAUUCUCAGGGCAUUUACUUGGACACACAAGUUCGUGUUUUAUUGAAAGUCGCACCUCGUAUGUUCGACCUAUAGAGAAAGAGACAGUACCAAUAAAAAUAUUUUGAAUGAAAAUUAUUUCUAAAUAUAACCUUCUUCAUAUAUAUAUUUUGAAUGAAAAUAACUUUCCUCAUUUAUCACCAAAAACUAUUAAAAUUAGCUUUUGUGCUAAGAAAAAAUUUUCACUAAAAGAAAAGGGACGUAAAAACAAAUUAUUCCACAAUUUUCCUACUUUAAUGCAUAGAAAGACUUACCCAGUCAAAGUCAAGCUCCUUACAUAUAAGUGAGUUUUAUGCCUAUCACUUACCAUUCAACAAACAAAAUAUCUUUGUUUCUCAAAAAAAGAAAUUGAGAGACGAUGAUUCGAAGCCAAUCGUAUUGUUUUCUUGGUAUUUUUCUUACCAUCUAUUUCUUUUUUUGCCUUCUUCCCUUACCAAACACCAUUGCUUCUCCCACACGGUUCCUGUGCCGCCCCGACCAAAGAGAUGCUCUUUUGGAGCUAAAAAAGGAGUUCCCGGUCCAUUCCAACGACAGCUAUCCUGUAACAACUGUUUCAUGGAACAAGAGCGUUGACUGCUGUUCUUGGGAUGGUGUCACAUGUGAUGCUAACUUGGGAAAUGUGAUAUCACUACAACUCAUUUCCCUUAGUACUGCAACCAACACCUCUUUGAAAUCCAGCAGUAGAAGUCUCUUAAAACUUCAACACCUUCGUGAGCUAAGGCUUUCAAAAUGCAAUCUCCAAGGGGAGAUUCCUUCUUCCAUUGGAAAUCUUUCUCAUCUCACAUAUCUUGAUCUUUCUUUCAAUCAAUUAGUUGGUGAAGUUCCGGCUUCAAUCGGUAACCUAAACCAACUAGGAUACAUGGAUCUUUCGUGUAAUGAUCUUAGAGGUAAUAUUCCUACUUCAUUUGCCAACUUAUCCAAGCUUUCUCAAUUGGAAAUCUUUGAAAAUCAAUUCACUGGUGGUUUAGUAGUAUUAGCCAAUUUAACCAACUUGUCCGAAAUAGACCUCAACUCAAAUCACGUCAAAUCCUCGUUUCCCUCAUUCUUGCUCAUGAUUUCUUCGUUAGUCGAGAUUCAUUUAGAUGAAAACCAAUUCGAGGGAACUCUUGAUUUUGGGAAUAUCUCUUCAUCAUCUAAGCUUGGAGUGUUAACUGUUGGCGACAACAAUUUUGAUGGGCUAGUUCCAGAAUCUAUAGGGAAAUUACACAAUCUCAAUUCUUUAGAUCUAAGCCAGAACAAUUUCAGAGGGAGAGUCCCUAGAUCUAUAUGGAAACUACGACAUCUCAAUUCUUUAGAUCUUAGCCAUAACAAUUUCAUAGGGAGAGUUCCUAGAUCAAUAUCUAAAUUAGUCAACCUCAAUUCCAUUUAUCUUUCCUAUAACAAGUUUGAAGGUCAAAUACCUCAUCUUCAUCAAUGACAACCUUCAAGCCCUUUUGUUGCAGUUGUCCCAGACUGAAUAAAUUAUUUUUCAGACCUGGGACAUAGUAAACCGAUGUGAUUACUGAGAUAGAGCCAUUGAUCUCCAGUCGCAGAUUUCCUCUUCCUUCUACCAUCAUCCUCCUGUCAUCACCUAACUUCACAUUUUGGCGGAAGGAACUAUCUAGUUCAACAAACUAGUCUUUGUUCCCGCACAUAUGGUUGCUACACCCCGAAUCUAGGAACCAUAUGUGUUCUUCUCCCUUAAUUUCGUCGAUGUGCGCCAUGAGCAGCAUAUCUUCCUCCAUCUCCACGAAAUUGGCUUCCUUUUCCCAUUCUGGACAUUCGGACUUGUAAUGUCCUUUUUUGUGACAUUUGAAACACUCCACAUGUUCCUUGUUGUAGCCCGAGCUUCCACCUCCACGACCUUGGUAUCCUCCUCUUCCUCUUCCUCGAUAUGGAGAUCUACCAUGGCCUCUUCCUCCUUCCGGUUUCCACUGGCUUUCCACCUUCAACGCGUGUUCAUCUCCUGUGUGUCGACUCAGAUUCUGCUCAUGAACCAUCAAUGAGCUUUGUAAUCCAUCAACAUUCAUCUCAUUGAUGUUCUUUGAUUCUUNNNNNNNNNNNNNNNNNNNNNNNNNNNNNNNNNNNNNNNNNNNNNNNNNNNNNNNNNNNNNNNNNNNNNNNNNNNNNNNNNNNNNNNNNNNNNNNNNNNNUUUUUCAGUAAGUGUACGCAAGAUCUUCUCGACCACUUUGGAAUCCGGCAUCUCCUCUCCAAGGUUUCUCAUAUCGUUGGUGACCUCCAUUACUCUUGAGACAUAUUGUUCGAUCACCUCUCCUGCCCUCAUCUCGAGAACUUCGAAGCUUCUUCUCAGCCUCUGCAGCUGCGCACUCUUGACUCUGUCAUCGCCUUGAUAUUUCUUUUUCAUCGAAUCCCACAGCUCCUUCGAUGUUUCCUUCUUCAGAAUUGUUUUGAGAAUUGUCUUGUCGAUUGAUGCGAACAAGUAAUUCUUCACCUUGUGAUCCUUCACGAUCCUCUCUGCACGCUCCGUUCUUUGUGCGCCAUUCAGGAUCACGUUCGGUUCCGGUUGACUGAUCCCUGUCUCGAUAAGAUCCCACCACUCCUUGGAUCUCAGCAAGUUUUCCAUGAGCAUUGCCCAAUGCUCAUAGUCUCCGUCGAACUUGGGGAUAAUCACAGAAUCUUUUUCACUCAUUUCUCUCUUGUACCAGGCUCGUGACAAGCUCUGAUACCACUUGUUACUUUGUAAAGCUAUUCAGUUUUGAAAACAGAGGAACAAAGUUUGACUGAAUGCUUCACGAUAUCAUUAUUCUCAAGAGAUUGACUCUUAAAUAGACCUUACAACGUGCAGCUACAAAAUAGGAACUAAACAACUGAAACAAAUUGACUCCUACAAGUCAGGAUACUUAUUCAAAACGAUUGAAACAUUCAAACUUGACCAAUUGACUCUAAUUGAUUCUUCAAUUUCGUCGAACAGCUUUCUUUGACAUCCCGAGUUUUAUCAGAAUGGUUCCAAGUGAUUUGAACGUUGGGUCAUCGGGUUGAAUUCCGGAUGAAACCAUCUCUUUGAAAGUCUCAACAGCUUCUUUGAAUCUUCCGUCUAAAGCGUAUAAAACGAGAACGUGUUGUAACUCAACGGAUCAGUUCGAAUCUUCAUCUCUCUCAUCUGUUUUGCUAUAUGAGUCGCUUCUUCGAACCUUCCAUUCUUCUUGUACAUACAUAACAUCAUCCCGAAGGUGAACUCGUUUGCUUCUCUUCUCUGUUUCAUGCUUUCGAAUAUAGCUUCCAUUUUUCUCACCAUUGAUGUUUCACUAUACAGGUUGUUGAUGUAUCUACAUCCGGAUACUAUGUCUCGUUACAUGAUUGAAGAAGCUUUCGGUAUAUUGCUUCAGCUUCAUUUAAGUAACCGACUUUAGUGUAGAGCUUGAUCAGAGAAUUGUAUAUAAACGAGUUGUAUUUUGUCAAAUUUAAACAAUCUUUUGCAAAAUUGAGCCAACUUUUUCAUUUAAAUUGAAAUAGUUGUUUUUCUUAUGGAUAUUUAAGGUGUUCCGGGUAAACAUACCUUAUCCGAACCGAACCAAAAAUAAAUUCGAUUUUAUUAAUUCAGCUCUCCAUUCAAAUAGCCAAACUUAAUUCGAACCGAAAUUCCAAAAUACUCGAAUGGAUCCUAGAAUCCCUUAAACAGACUACUCAUAACUGAACAGAACCAAUCCAAACUCGAACGGGUAUCCUAAUGGCCUAACUGUAGGCUCUAGGAUCGAAGAGUGAUAGUUUUAUCUAAUUAAGUAACUUAAGUUAACAUGGUGCAGAAAAUAGGGAUUCUUACAAUUGUUAUGUAACAUCAUAUAUGUCUCUUCAACAUCCUCCCUGACUUUAGACGUUUUGUCGAGUGGAAAUUUAUUCCCAAAAUAAAUGGGGAGAGUGGGUUCGCUGACUCCGUCUCAACCACAUGACUCGAUAACCGAUCAAUAAAUGUCUUUCUAAAUCUUUGGUUGGUGUCCACAAAAACAAAAUUAUUUUCCCAUUUUACUCAUUUUUGCUUCUUUUUAAAUAAAAAAUAAUUCAUAUAUAUGAAGAAGAAUUGCCAAGAAUUUUUCUUUUAUAAAGACAAGUGAGUAAGCAAUACAUAUCGAUCACUUACCAUUCAACAAACAAAACGUAUUUGUUUCCAAAAGAAAAUAAUUGUCAUGAGUCGAAACAAGUCUUAUUGGUUUGGUGUUACCAUCUAUUUCUUAGUUUCUUGUCACCCUUUUAUAAACACCUUUGCUUCUCCCACACAGUCCUUGUGCCGCAACGACCAAAGGGAUGCUCUUUUAGAGCUAAAAGAAGAGUUAUCAAUCCAUUCCAGAAACAGCGCUCCUGUACCAACAAUUUCAUGGAACAAGCGCGUCGACUGCUGUUCUUGGAAGGGUGUGAAGUGUAAUGCUAUCUCCGGAGAGGUGAUAUCACUAAAACUUGGUGACCCCUCUACAACCAACAGCUCUUUGAAAUCUAGCAGUGGUCUUUUUAAACUCCAAAAUCUUCUUCACCUAGAUCUUUCAUCUUUAGGUCUCCAAGGGGAGAUUCCUUCUUCCAUUGGAAAUCUUUCUCAUCUCACAUAUCUUGAUCUUUCUUUCAAUCAAUUAGUUGGUGAAGUUCCGGCUUCAAUCGGUAACCUAAACCAACUAGGAUACAUGGAUCUUUCGUGUAAUGAUCUUAGAGGUAAUAUUCCUACUUCAUUUGCC
RNAcentral lists this long non-coding RNA (19610 nucleotides) under Arabidopsis lyrata. Its description in RNAcentral is "long non-coding RNA (ALYR_LNC002371)". The record is from RNAcentral. Lineage: Eukaryota; Viridiplantae; Streptophyta; Magnoliopsida; Brassicales; Brassicaceae.